AUUGAACGCUGGCGGCAGGCCUAACACAUGCAAGUCGAGCGGAUGAAGGGAGCUUGCUCCUGGAUUCAGCGGCGGACGGGUGAGUAAUGCCUAGGAAUCUGCCUGGUAGUGGGGGAUAACGUCCGGAAACGGGCGCUAAUACCGCAUACGUCCUGAGGGAGAAAGUGGGGGAUCUUCGGACCUCACGCUAUCAGAUGAGCCUAGGUCGGAUUAGCUAGUUGGUGGGGUAAAGGCCUACCAAGGCGACGAUCCGUAACUGGUCUGAGAGGAUGAUCAGUCACACUGGAACUGAGACACGGUCCAGACUCCUACGGGAGGCAGCAGUGGGGAAUAUUGGACAAAGGGCGAAAGCCUGAUCCAGCCAUGCCGCGUGUUUGAAGAAGGUCUUCUGAUUGUAAAGCACUUUAAGUUGGGAGGAAGGGCAGUAAGUUAAUACCUUGCUGUUUUGACGUUACCAACAGAAUAAGCACCGGCUAACUUCGUG
Molecule: ribosomal RNA, 484 nt
Filed under: uncultured bacterium
Lineage: Bacteria
Description: partial 16S ribosomal RNA
Rfam family: Bacterial small subunit ribosomal RNA
Source: RNAcentral